GUAUUACUGUGGUGUGGGCGCAGA
RNAcentral lists this non-coding RNA (24 nucleotides) under Cricetulus griseus (Chinese hamster). Lineage: Eukaryota; Metazoa; Chordata; Mammalia; Rodentia; Cricetidae. The record is from RNAcentral.